This 253-nucleotide ribosomal RNA is filed under the name uncultured bacterium. Its description in RNAcentral is "partial 16S ribosomal RNA". It matches the Rfam family "Bacterial small subunit ribosomal RNA", at positions 524 to 776 of the family's 1533-position model. The record is from RNAcentral.
UACGUAGGGUGCGAGCGUUGUCCGGAAUUACUGGGCGUAAAGAGCUCGUAGGUGGUUUGUCGCGUUGUUCGUGAAAACUCACAGCUUAACUGUGGGCGUGCGGGCGAUACGGGCAGACUGGAGUACUGUAGGGGAGACUGGAAUUCCUGGUGUAGCGGUGGAAUGCGCAGAUAUCAGGAGGAACACCGGUGGCGAAGGCGGGUCUCUGGGCAGUAACUGACGCUGAGGAGCGAAAGCGUGGGGAGCGAACAGG